This 1177-nucleotide long non-coding RNA is filed under the name Capra hircus (goat). RNAcentral's name for it is "lncRNA (ENSCHIG00010012574.1)". The record is from RNAcentral. Lineage: Eukaryota; Metazoa; Chordata; Mammalia; Artiodactyla; Bovidae.
AGAAGUUUGUGGUCAGGAACAGGAUGGCCCCGCUUGUCUGUGGCUCCGGCGCCGGGAAAAGGCUGGCAGUGGUGAUGGCGCCGCCGCUGCCCGCGGCCGCCGCACCCCGAGGCCGUUUGGCCGGGCACACGUCCCCCUUCUCCUCCGGCUCGGGCGCCCGCGCCCGCCCCGCUGCAGGUAACCAGGGACGCCGGGUCGGGGCGUGGGCACUGGUGGGGCCAUCGGAGAAGGGACAGGGGCUGGGUCGGGGGCGGGAGGGAGCGGGCGAGUCCCACUGAAGGGGGCGCCUGCCAGGCAUGUCAGUGGCGCGGAGAGGAGCCCGAGCCGGGGAAGGACGGAGACUGCACUCGCGUGGGAGGAGGGGGUCGGGCGGGCGCCCCGGGCUUUGAAGAGAGCCCAGUCCAGGGGCUGACUCGCAGCAGGCUGCCUGCCAAAGGCUCUGUUUGGUUGAGGAGGUCUGCGUCUGAGGUCAUCCCCCGAGUGGGUCGGGGGUGGGCAUCCCCGGGUGACCCGGCUAGUGGCGGCUCGUCCUGAGCGCGAAGACUGAGGCGGGGUGGCCGCCGUCCCGCCGCACAGCACUGGCGGAGACCCCCGGGCCGGGCUGUGGCCGCUGCCUCUCGGACUCCCCCUUCGCAACGGCAGCCCCUCCAGGCAGUUCUGACCCGCAGCAGAGCGGGGGGCGGGGGGCGGGGGACGCGGGACGCAGACAGGCAGGGUGGUGGGAAAAGGUGAAGGACAUGCCGCGCAGCCAGGGUGGGAGGAACCAGAGUGGGGGCAUUUUCCUCCCAGCCCAUUUUGGGGGCGCUCUUCGCCCUCCUCAUUGGGUCCGGAGCGCGCCCCUGAGCCGUCCAGAGCCAGAGAGGAGAGCUCGGGGGCCAGGGGGGCGGCCUGAGAGAGGGCAGGGGUCCCUGGACCUCCCGGCCCGGUGGAGAAACGCCUCGGCGCGGCCGCCUCCCCUCCCCCGAAAGGAACCUGCGCCUUCUCGGCCCCCUCCCCGGCGGGGCGGGCGCGCGCUUGCCGGAGAAACUUCUGACGCGGAGCUGUUUGAAUGAGACUUGAUUUCCUUCCUUCAGCAGUCUCUGCGUGGUUCUGAACUGAGACUUGCUUCGGGUUUUCCAGCAGCCUCGCUCGAGGCAGUCGGGCAGACCCCGACCUAGGGGUGGGAACCUCAGCCGAA